This is a long non-coding RNA of Bactrocera neohumeralis, 722 nucleotides long. RefSeq lists it as uncharacterized. The transcript is spliced from 7 exons. The record is from RefSeq and is a predicted model, not a curated record. NCBI's taxonomy places the organism in Eukaryota, Metazoa, Arthropoda, Insecta, Diptera, Tephritidae.
CAAGAUUGCGCAAUGACGAGUUUUUAAUUUUGUUCGUUCUGCGCAUCUACGUCUCGGUUGACCAACUUACAAUUAGCUGAUUUUCAGUUGGUUGUUUUUCUUUGCAAUAAGAAGCAAUUUUGUAUUGCAGGCAUACAAAAUCAUGAAUAUCAUCAAAUUUGACAUCAAUAUAAGGAAUUCGUCGCUGUCGCUUUCCCUGCAAGACGGAGGUAACAGAUUGCACAAACACAUUGAAACAUUUUCAGCUGUUCACUAACACUGUUACAUUUUCUGGAAUUUUCAAUUGAAUGGGAGAUUACGUAAAAUAGGAAAGACGAAUACCCAAUUUUUCAAGAAGAAGAAAACGAAAAGCGCAGUUUAUUUUGGAUUUUAAAGAAAGAAAUCGAAAAAGCUUCACAAGGAGAAAAAGGAAUCAUUUGGAGAAUUCAAAUAUAUUGCGUACAACAAACAAAUAAGGGAAUAUAAUCCAGAAGCUGGAUGCCAUUGAGACCCGUCUCACUGCAAUUGAAAAGUCCCUAACAGACAAAAUGCCAGAGAAGGCCGAGGUGCAGGCGCAAAGUAAAUUAGUGCGCGAAUGCCGCGUCAUAGCGCCAGUUGAUUAGUUCUAAGUUGAAGUUUCUUAUUUUACUUUAACAAAUAUGAAUUUGUAGCAUUAUAACUUUUAUACUGAAAUAACUUGUAUUUUUUUUCUGCCGAAUGAUUUUGAUAUUAUUAUUUAAUAA